This 81-nucleotide microRNA precursor is filed under the name Lotus japonicus. Its description in RNAcentral is "miR11084 stem-loop (lja-MIR11084)". Lineage: Eukaryota; Viridiplantae; Streptophyta; Magnoliopsida; Fabales; Fabaceae. The record is from miRBase by way of RNAcentral.
GAUUUCUGGAUCCACGUUUGGCCUCUCUAGAUUUGAAACCAAACACACACAUACUUAGUUCCAAACUUGGAUCCCAAAGUC